This 484-nucleotide ribosomal RNA is filed under the name uncultured bacterium. RNAcentral's name for it is "partial 16S ribosomal RNA". It matches the Rfam family "Bacterial small subunit ribosomal RNA", at positions 30 to 507 of the family's 1533-position model. The record is from RNAcentral.
AUUGAACGCUGGCGGCAGGCCUAAUACAUGCAAGUCGAGCGGAUGAAUGGAGCUUUCUCCUGGAUUCAGCUGCGGACGGGUGAGUAAUUCCUAGGAAUCUGCCUUGUAUUUGGGGAUAACGUCCGGAAACGGGCGCUAAUACCGCAUACGUCCUGAGGUAGAAAUUGGUGGAUCUUCGGACCUCACGCUAUCAGAUGAGCCUAGGUCGUAUUAGCUAGUUGGUGUGGUAAUGGCCUACCAAGGCGACGAUCCGUAACUGGUCUGAGAGGAUGAUCAGUCACACUGGAACUGAGACACGGUCCAGACUCCUACGGGAGGCAGCAGUGGGGAAUCUUCGACAAUGGGCGAAAGCCUGAUCCAGCCAUGCCGCGUGUGUGAAGAAGGUCUUCGGAUUGUAAAGCACUUUAAGUUGGGAGGAAGAGAAGUAAGUUAAUACAUUGAUGUUUUGACGUUACCAAAAGAAAAAGCACCGGCUAACUUCGUG